Long non-coding RNA from Cygnus olor (mute swan), 1145 nucleotides. RefSeq lists it as uncharacterized. The transcript is spliced from 3 exons. Lineage: Eukaryota; Metazoa; Chordata; Aves; Anseriformes; Anatidae. The record is from RefSeq and is a predicted model, not a curated record.
AAAAUAAAGAGCAAGGUCCCUGCAGGAUGCACAGGUCAGUGCUGGAACACCCUGCCACCAAGUGCUGUGAAUGCCAAAAGGCUGCAAGGAUUCAAGGGGAGCUGGGGCAAGUUCAGACAAGACGUUGAGAUGGAUGGUCCUUUUCUCUGCUACGCUUCAGCCACUUGUCUCCUGCACCCCUUCACUGGAUGUUUUGCAACGUCUAACUUGUAGCAAAUGGGAUAAUAAGAGGUGAGAGACUGAGGGAGACAAGAUCUGCAGUAAACAUGGGACAAAUCUGCGUGAGAAAGUGAAAGGAGGUGAGUGGGCAGAGGAGGGGAUGAAAUAGUGCAAACUCUUUUAUGUGGUGAAGUACCUGGGGUACAUGGCACUACCCUAUGACUGAGGCACAAGUGAAAUUUUGCUGAAAAUUAUAGAAAAUUCCAGUUAUACUCUCAAUCAGUUGAUGAAGUUUCUGCUAAAUUUAAUGCUCUAUCUUCUAUGCUUUUAAAAAACAGUUUUUGUUGUUGUUGUUUUUCCAGUUGUGGUACAGAGAAGGAAGCAGCACUGGAGAAGGAACGAGCUGCUGAUGGCAGGCUCUGCCUACAGUAGCAGAAGAAAUUAAACCUUAUUGACAGUGUUCAUCUCUGGAACAAUGUUUAUCUCUAGGGGAGAGAAGCAUAAAGUCACAUGAAAAGAGAGACUGAACAAGAUAGAGGAAACCUGGGAAAGGGGAGAAGUACAGGCAUUUUUUAGUGGCAAGCCUAAGAUAAACUUAUGAAUGCAGAAUCAGGCUCCACAUAAGAUCAGUGUUGGUAUCACUUUGGAAGUUUUAUAUGAUUGAUUUUCUUGGUUUUGUCACAAAUAAGGCUAAAUGUAAACAUAUUGUUUACUCUUUUAUCUAUCUAAACUUGAAACACAUACAGUAUGUGUGGCCAUUAUUUACCAGUAUUACCACCUGUGUGCUGCUUUGUCUAGGUCACCUUGCACAUCUGCAGCAGUAAGGAACAUUUCAGUGAGUUAGGGCACUUCUUGCUCAGUGACUGUUUAAAUAUUAGUUUCUUCUGUGGGAGCUAUGGAGUGGUACCAGCAAUGAAACUGGCCCAGCACUGCCAGCAGUAAACUACAUCUGUGAAAGUAUUCUGAGCUUAAGGAGAAACAAUCAG